Molecule: long non-coding RNA, 1290 nt
Filed under: Sarcophilus harrisii (Tasmanian devil)
Lineage: Eukaryota; Metazoa; Chordata; Mammalia; Dasyuromorphia; Dasyuridae
Description: lncRNA (ENSSHAG00000031653.1)
Source: RNAcentral
CAGCUGUGGAGACCCCACACUACCUUGUUCAAAAUCUCCUUAACCCAGCUUGAGGAACUGGGGAUGGAUUGGGGUGAGGGUCCAUGAUCAGCAUUCCCUGAUCUUUAGCACCUGAAACUACCAUCAAAGGGAGAUCCUGGGACCAGUCACCCCAGUCUUCAGCAGGUUCUGUCCAGCAACUGCCUGGCAAGAAUUUGGGUGUCCCUGGAAGCACCUAGCAUGGCAGUGUGAAGUGAGAAAGCCAGUCAGCCUCUGCAUUUGAUUGAUGUCUUUCUUAUCUGAGCAAGAGCUGGGAGGACAACCUUAUUCUCUGCCCAAGAUUCCAAGCCAUGAAAUUUCAACCAUUUAGUCAACCUGAAAUCACCUGGUAACUGAUUCUAACACUCAGCACCGGAUGCUGCUGACGCCACCUACAAGUCACUUGUCUCCCCUCCUUAGUCUGGACCCCACUGGGCAGAGCCAGCUCUAUACCCCUAAUCAGCCUGAAGCAGCUCCAGAAGAUGAGCUUCUUCCCUUUGUCCCAAAUUAAUCUGGGUCUGGACUGCUUGAGGUGGGAAUGAUGGGAUAAUAGCCCUGAGACCACAGGCCUUGACAGUACUAUAGUUCCACAGAUAACUGGCUGCCAGAUACCAAUUUAUGGGUCUAUCAUGAUAGGGUUUCCAAAACAGAUAGUGGGAAUUGGUGGAAGCAGAAUCUCUGGUUCCUGCUCAUUGUUUUUAGCAGUAUUAUCCUUUUACUGCUUGCUUGCCUUGCAUGAUGCAUUUAAUCACUAGAACAGUUCAAUAGUUCCUUAGCUAAAAUGGUCUCAGUAAAAGCUUCCACUCAUGUGUUGGCUCUGGUAGAGGGUGGGUUACAAUUGAUACUGAAGAGAAGGACAAGCCUGAAGGCCUAAAUAUCAUGGAUGUCUUAGUGGAAGAAAUGUAUCACGUUUGAUGUGAGAAAUCUUCAAAGGUAUGAAAUAAAGAGGAGGGACCAAAUGGGACAAGUUGAGAUUUCUCAGAGACUGUAGGGUAAAGUAGAUCAGACUCUAGGCCUAAGUUUUAGGUUUUGCUCAUGUAAAAAAAAAAGUAGACAUGUUGUACAUUGGCCAACAAUCCCCUCCCGUGUUCCUGAAGAAUUCAGUUCAAUCAUUGAAUUUAAAAGUCAACAGGAUAAGGGAGGACUUGCAGUUUUCAGUUAUAUAACCCAGCUUCUGCCUAUGUAUUGGACGACAUCCUAUUAGACUGCUAGUGAAGGUGCUGGCCCACUUGCAAGAAUUGAAUAAAGUCUUUUUGUUUGUAUCUGGAGAUG